RNAcentral lists this ribosomal RNA (462 nucleotides) under uncultured bacterium. RNAcentral's name for it is "partial 16S ribosomal RNA". It matches the Rfam family "Bacterial small subunit ribosomal RNA", at positions 28 to 507 of the family's 1533-position model. The record is from RNAcentral.
GACGAACGCUGGCGGCGUGCUUAACACAUGCAAGUCGAACGGAAAGGCCCUUCGGGGUACUCGAGUGGCGAACGGGUGAGUAACACGUGGGGGAUCUGCCCUGCACUUUGGGAUAAGCCUGGGAAACUGGGUCUAAUACCGAAUAGGACCACGCGCUUCAUGGUGUGUGGUGGAAAGCUUUUGCGGUGUGGGAUGGGCCCGCGGCCUAUCAGCUUGUUGGUGGGGUAAUGGCCUACCAAGGCGACGACGGGUAGCCGGCCUGAGAGGGUGACCGGCCACACUGGGACUGAGAUACGGCCCAGACUCCUACGGGAGGCAGCAGUGGGGAAUAUUGCACAAUGGGCGCAAGCCUGAUGCAGCGACGCCGCGUGAGGGAUGACGGCCUUCGGGUUGUAAACCUCUUUCAAUAGGGACGAAGCGAAAGUGACGGUACCUAUAGAAGAAGCACCGGCCAACUACGUG